AGAUUGUUUCAUAGAUAGAUUUCACCUUGGCUUUAAGAAAGAGAGUAAUGGAAAGUGCAGAUGUUGAGGAGUUCAUCUAUUCGACUAUUCUCUCCUUCUUCCUCUCUUAAUUGUUCAAGUAAGAUAAGAAUAAGUUUCAUCACACUUGUUAUUUUCUGAUCAUCGUUUACUUAUACUUUCGAACAAACUAUGUUAUUGUUUAUACUUUAUAGGUUUUUAGAGUAAUCUGUGGUAUAAUCAACUAAUUAGGAUACUUAAAUCACUUUUCCCCCCUUCUAAACCCUAUUAUUUACUGUUGUGGUGCUUUGAUUAAUUGCUUGAUUGCAAGAAAUUUAUGUUACAUAUAAGAUUCAAUGUGUUUUUACAUUAUUGUUAAUAUUGCUUAUAUCAAUCAUGUACAGUAAAGAAUGUUGUUGUGAUUAUGGCAUUAUGCUAUACCGUAGAAGGGAGUCGACCUGCAAUCAACCUUAAAGUUGGAAGUAGAUGUGUAAGAGGAGGUGUGCAAUCAACCAGUAGAGUGAGGUCUACCUUUUUUUUUUUUCCCUUCUUGUUUUCAAUAGUGUUUCAUAUCACAAAUGGCCUUGUCAACUAAAAAAAGGAGUUUGACUGCCACUGGCAGGCGACCGAAAGUUAAAUCAGCCUACUACAACAUUUUACAUAGGAACCCCAGACGUAUAUCAUGAGUUCCAAUUUGAUAUCCCGGAUUGCAAUAUCUUUAUUGUUUAGCUUCUUCGUACUUGUAAAACUUGUUUCCCCUGUGUCUUGAUUGUUCCUACGCCAACUUGAUCAUAAAUUCAUGGAUUCAUCAUUAGAUUAAGUUUACCCUUUUUAAAAUAGCUUUUAGUCUACAUUUGAAGAUUAACACAAAAAUGAUAUUGUAUUGCAGGUUGAUUUGUUCAGCAGUUAGAUCCCCAGAAACAUGAGUUGCAUGCCAAGGCAAAUUAAGAGAGUUAAAAGCUAAACAAUGUUCUUAUGGUGAUGAUGCACUGCUUUCAGUGAAUAAAAGUCUGCAAUUAGGCUAAUUUUGCAAUCUUUUUUAUUCAGUUUUGCUUUCUUAUAUUAUUUUGGCCCUACUUUAUGAACCGCUUUGUUGAUUGGCUUUUCAUUCUUUUUGGGAACUUUAGUUGGUUAAUGAUUUCGUUCUUCAUGCGAGACAAGCUGGUGGGAAUGAAAUGGCUUAGAAGCUAUGGAAAACACAGACCACUCUAGAGGUUAUUUUUGUUCUCAACCUUUUCUUACC
This 1240-nucleotide long non-coding RNA is filed under the name Aquilegia coerulea. Its description in RNAcentral is "long non-coding RNA (ACOE_LNC000814)". The record is from RNAcentral. Lineage: Eukaryota; Viridiplantae; Streptophyta; Magnoliopsida; Ranunculales; Ranunculaceae.